This 427-nucleotide ribosomal RNA is filed under the name uncultured bacterium. Its description in RNAcentral is "bacterial SSU rRNA". It matches the Rfam family "Bacterial small subunit ribosomal RNA", at positions 28 to 482 of the family's 1533-position model. The record is from RNAcentral.
GAUGAACGCUGGCGGCGUGCCUAACACAUGCAAGUCGAGCGAUUCUCCUCGGAGAAGAGCGGCGGACGGGUGAGUAACGCGUGGGUAACCUGCCCUGUACACACGGAUAACAUACCGAAAGGUAUGCUAAUACGAGAUAAUAUGCUUUUAUCGCAUGGUAGAAGUAUCAAAGCUCCGGCGGUACAGGAUGGACCCGCGUCUGAUUAGCUAGUUGGUAAGGUAACGGCUUACCAAGGCGACGAUCAGUAGCCGACCUGAGAGGGUGAUCGGCCACAUUGGAACUGAGACACGGUCCAAACUCCUACGGGAGGCAGCAGUGGGGAAUAUUGCACAAUGGGCGAAAGCCUGAUGCAGCAACGCCGCGUGAGCGAUGAAGGCCUUCGGGUCGUAAAGCUCUGUCCUCAAGGAAGAUAAUGACGGUACUUGA